UGCUCUGGUAGAAUCCUUUUAAAAUUGAGA
Molecule: non-coding RNA, 30 nt
Filed under: Mus musculus (house mouse)
Lineage: Eukaryota; Metazoa; Chordata; Mammalia; Rodentia; Muridae
Source: RNAcentral